CGUCCUUGGGGUGUCCCCAGUGCCGCGGGUGUCCCCAGUGCCGUGGGUGUCCCCAGUGCCGUGGGUGCCCCCAGUGCCGCGGGUGUCCCCGCAGGACGGGGUUCCCUCGGUGACACGGGGUGCUGCCCCCCUCGGUGGUUGCCGGGGCGAGGGGACCCGCGCGGUCCCGGGGACAGCCGAGUGUGGGGGCAGAGACUGGGACCGGCGCCCGGGGCGGGCGGGGACACGGGGCAGGACAGGGACUGGGACCGGGAUUGGGACUGGGACCGAGAUCGGGACAGAUACUGGGACCGGGACUGGGACUGGGACCGGCGCCCGGGGCGGGCGGGGACACGGGGCAGGACCGGGACUGGGACCGGGACAGGAACUGGGACAGGGACCGGGACUGGGACAGGGACAGGGACAGGGACAGAGACCGGGACAGGGACUGGGACAGGGACAGGGACCGGGACUGGGACUGGGACUGGGACUGGGACCGGGACAGAUACUGGGACCGGGACUGGGACCGGGAUCGGGAUCGGGAUUGGGACUGGGACAGGGACAGGAACCGGGACAGGGAGAGGGACAGGGACCGGGACAGGGACAGAUACUGGGACCUGGACUGGACUGGGAUCCGGACCGGGACAGGGAUCGGGACAGGGACAGGGACAGGGACAGGGACAGGGACUGGGAUCGGGAUCGGGAUCUGUACAGAGACAGGGACCGAUACUGGGACCCGGACUGGGACUGGGAUCGGGAUUGGGACUGGGACAGGGACAGGGACUGGGAUCGGGAUUGGGACUGGGACAGGGACAGAGACAGGGACAGGGACAGGGACAGGGACAGGGACAGGGACAGGGACAGGGACAGGGACCGGGACUGGGACUGAGACCGGGACUGGGACUGGGACCGAAACAGGGAUCGGGACAGGGACAGAUACUGGGACCUGGACUGGACUGGGAUCGGGACCGGGACCGGGACAGGGACAGGGACUGCGGCCGGGACUGGGACUGGGACCGGGACCGGGAGCAGAACCAGCUGCGGUAA
RNAcentral lists this long non-coding RNA (1026 nucleotides) under Taeniopygia guttata (zebra finch). Its description in RNAcentral is "lncRNA (ENSTGUG00000023662.1)". The record is from RNAcentral. Lineage: Eukaryota; Metazoa; Chordata; Aves; Passeriformes; Estrildidae.